This 253-nucleotide ribosomal RNA is filed under the name uncultured bacterium. RNAcentral's name for it is "partial 16S ribosomal RNA". It matches the Rfam family "Bacterial small subunit ribosomal RNA", at positions 524 to 776 of the family's 1533-position model. The record is from RNAcentral.
UACGUAGGGGGCUAGCGUUGUCCGGAAUCAUUGGGCGUAAAGCGCGUGUAGGCGGCCCGGUAAGUCCGCUGUGAAAGUCGGGGGCUCAACCCUCGGAUGCCGGUGGAUACUGUCGGGCUCGAGUGCGGAAGAGGCGAGUGGAAUUCCUGGUGUAGCGGUGAAAUGCGCAGAUAUCAGGAGGAACACCAAUUGCGAAGGCAGCUCGCUGGGACGUUACUGACGCUGAGGAGCGAAAGCCAGGGGAGCAAACGGG